Molecule: long non-coding RNA, 1189 nt
Filed under: Bemisia tabaci
Lineage: Eukaryota; Metazoa; Arthropoda; Insecta; Hemiptera; Aleyrodidae
Description: lncRNA ENSSSA2NGG009697
Source: RNAcentral
GUAAAACGUACCAUUCACACGCAAGCUGGCAACAUUUCGUUGGUGUCCUUCUACCUACUGGCGCUCGAGCUUUUCCUCUUCUCUUCGACAGUCGUGCAAAAUAUCUCACUGCCUUAGGAUGAAUUAGAAUAUUACAUUUGAAUCUUUUCUAGCGCUUCAUGUGUCUCAUCACUCCUUAUUAUUCGAACUUGCGGCGAAAUUGGUCUUAAUUUUUAGCACGGCCGAGCGGUCAGUAAAAUCGGACGAUUUUCACUGAAUUAAUUGUGGGAUCCAAAGUGAUUUCUUCAAGUAUUAUAUAUGAGUGAAAUUUUAAAGUUUAGUGAAUAUUUCUAAAUUGUGCAUUUGUUGAAUUCGGAAAGUCUCCGUUGGUUUUUUUUUUUUUUUUUUUUUUUAACUUCCGGGAGGUGAAUCUAGUACGUGAAGUAAUAUUGUGAUUGGUAAAACCUAUAGCUUGACUCAACUAUCAAACAUUCGUCGGUUUGAGCCAAAAAUCAGACGGUCAAUACUUUCUGCACAAAAAGCAUGUUCAUACCUCAGCUUCCUUUCAAGCCGGAAGAAGGUUAUCGUAUUGGAACGAGGGAACGUAUUGAUAGGAAAACCAAAAUCACGAAGAGAGACAAACGUAGAUUCUGGGUUUUACCAUAAAUCUGCCAUCGAUGUAAUUCGCGCUGACAUCCGUUUAGCAUUCUCGCACGUUCGGCAGACUGCCCAACGCAUUAUUCCUUGGCCAUUAGCAGACGAGUAUAAUAAUGUUGCUGCCUAUCAGAAAAUGUUGACUUCCCGAAAGUAUUUUUUCCUCGUGCGAUUUAAUAAUUCAUUAGAUAUCGACGGUGAAACUACCAAACCACGUAUCUCGGUUUGCGACGUCGCAGACUUCCUGUCAUACUUCAUUUUUUAAAUGAAAAACUACUUAACGUCCAGUCUUGAAAAUUUCUGUGAUUUUUCCUCUUCGUGCGGAGAAAAUUCUGCGAAAAUUUCAAGGAAUGAUAUUGAUUUGGUCUACUUCAAAAAAUAAAAUGCGAGCGUAGAUUUUUAAACACCGCAAACGAGAUACGUGGUUUGGUAGUUUCACCGUCGAUAUGUAUCCACUAUACUGCCGCGCUAAGGAAAAACGCCGUAUGAACCUUCAGGCAUUUUCCAAAUUUCCUUUGAUAAAACACGAAUUUCCUGGUAAACUCAUGAAUACUUU